This is an RNA transcript of Trichoplusia ni (cabbage looper), 7509 nucleotides long. RefSeq lists it as uncharacterized. The record is from RefSeq and is a predicted model, not a curated record. The transcript has 2 exons. NCBI's taxonomy places the organism in Eukaryota, Metazoa, Arthropoda, Insecta, Lepidoptera, Noctuidae.
AUUAUAUUAUUGUACAAUAAAAUGUUUUUAAAUGUAUAAAAAUCUUUCAAAAAAAUACGAUUUUCCGAGGCCAAACUCAUAAUAUGAGAUAGAGAGAGAUACCAAAUAUAACACUAAUUAUAUUUCCGAAAGGAGUAGUUUUACAGUCACUAUUUUUUCAUCCAUAAAAUGUAAUUUCAAUUUACAGAUAUGACUUAUGAAGUGAUCAAUCUAAAUGGAAAAAGUGUGACACUAUACCAGAAGUAUACUUAUUCAAAGAGUGGUAAAACAUUUCGUAAUCAGUACUGUUCCAAAAAAUGGUCAACUAAAUGUGAAGCUAAGCUCACUCUGUCUGCUGAUGGGGCCAUAGAGAUGGCGAGAACUGUCCACAACCACCCCCCACCUAAAUUGUAUCGUACAACUGAUGGAAUGUAUUACAAAGUUUCAAUAUGAUUAAAAAAUAAUAUGUUUUGCUAAAGGUAUUUUUAUAUUUUUUUUCUGAUUACUUGUAAGAUAAAUACGUAUCUUGUUAUAGAUACAAAAACUUGUGCGUGUGGUUUAUCUUUACACAAUAUUUCUUACCUGUUUUUCAGUAUAGUUGUCUACAAUAAAGUAAUAAUCAUCACAGAUGUGCGUUUGGAAACGAUUUUAUUUUCAGGUCGACUCGUAUUUUCGGAAAUUUAUCGAGGUUAAGCUGAUUUACAACAAUGUUAAGAUGCAACUACAACUUCCAACAAAGCAAGUUUAUUGUAAAAGUAAAUGGACGUCAUAAACGAAGUCCAUCUUCUUUUACAUUGAGUAUUUCUUUAUUUUUCGAUGUUAAGGUACGCGCACAAGACGUUUUUUGUAGUAAACUAAGCUAACCUGAAAUUUCAUUUCAGAUGCAGAGCGUGGAUCAGUGAUUUGGUUCGUAGAAACAAGAUAUGGGUACGAGAAUGAGAAUAUUGCGGUCGAUAAUGUUGAAACAAAAAAUACCGAUUCGCCAAGGGGUGAAGCAAAGGUGCAGUCACAAAAUGAAAACAUUGAAGAUGUUGACAUGGCGUCUCAGUAUGCCAAUAUUGAGUCACAAUAUGCCAACGUGACAACAGAAGAUGACAACAUCGCGCCACAAUAUGACAACAUGACAACACAAGAUGUCAAUAUGGCAUCACAAGAUGGAAACAAUACGUCACAAUGUGAAAGCAGAGUGUCACAACAAGAUGAUGUGGUGCCAAAUAAUGAAAACUUGACAACACAAGACUAUAUGGGGUCACAGGAUGAAAACACAACGUCACGAUAUGAGAACAGAGUGUCACAACAUGAUAACUUGGCGCCUCAAUAUGACAUCUUGACAUCACAAGAUGACAAUAUGGGAUCGCAAGAUGAUAACGAUACGUCACAAUAUGAGAGCAGAGUGUCACAGCAUGACAACUUGGCGCCAAAUUAUGAAAACUUGACAACACAAGAUGAUAACAUGGGGUCACAAGAUGAAAAUACGUCACAAUAUGAAAACAGAAUGUCAGAAUAUGAUAAUGUGGCUCCAAAAUAUGACAACUUGACACCCCAAGAUGAAAACACAACGUCACACUAUGAAAACAGAGUAUCACAACAUGAUACUGUCGCGCAGAAUUAUGAAAACUUGACAACACAAGAUUACAAUACGGGGUCACAAGAUGCAAACACAGCGUCUCAAUAUGAAAACAGAAUGUCACAACAUGAUAACAUUGCGCGACAAUAUAACAAUAUGAUAUCACAAGAUGUCGACAUGGGGUCACAAGAAGAAAACAAUACGUCACAAUAUGAUAAUAUGCUGCCACAAUAUCACAACAAGACAUCUCAAGAUAGCAACAGAAGGUCACACGAUGAAGACAUGCUACCACAAUGUGAAAACAUAGCAUUGAAAUAUGACAACAUGGCAUUACAAGAUGUCAACAUGGCGUUACAAUAUGAAAACAGGACGUCACAAUAUGACAACAGUGUUACAAAAGAUUACAAAAUGAGAGUAUUAUAUGAAAAAAGGUUGUCACAACAAGCCAACAUGGCGCUUCAAUAUGACACCAUGGUACCUCAAGAUUACAGUAUAACGGAAUAUGGAAAAAGGUCGACACAAUGUGAAAAGCUUGGGCCUCAAUAUGACAACACGGUGCCUCAGUAUGACAACAUAGUACCACAAGAUUACAGAAUGACGGCACAAUAUGAAAAACUUGGGCCACAAUAUGACAACAUGGCUCCUCAAUAUGACAACAGGCUACCACAAGAUUACAAGAUGACUGCACAGUAUGACAAAACAUCGUCACAAUAUGACAUCAUGGAGUCUCAAUAUGAGAACAUGGUACCACAAGAUUACAGUAUGACGGCACUAUCUGCAAAAAUAUCGUCACAACAUGAAAAGCUUUGCCCACAAUAUGACGACAUGGCGCCUCAAUAUGACAACAGGGUACCACAAGAUUACAAAAUGACGGCACAUUAUGAGAAAACGUCGUCACGAUAUGAAAAGCUUGGUCUACAAUAUGACAAUAUGGAACCUCAAUAUGACGACAUGGUACCACGAGAUUACAGUAUGACGGCACUAUCUGAAAAAAGGUCAUCACAACAUGAAGAGCUUGGUCCACAAUAUGACAACAUGGCGCCUCAAUAUGACAACAUGGAACCACUAGAUUACAGAAUGUCGGCACAAUAUGAAAAAAGGUCGUCACAAUACGAAAAAGUUAUGUCACAAUAUGACAACAGUGCCCCCCAAUAUGACAACAGGGUAUCACAAGAUGACAACGUGUCGGUACAAUAUGAAAAUAUGGGGCCACAAUACGACAACAUGGCAUCUCAAUAUAACAACGGGUUAACUCAGGAUGGCAACAUGACGGCACAAUAUAACAACAAGCCGUCACAUGAUGAAAAUGUGACGUCACAAUAUAGCAACAUGACGUUAGAAUAUGAAAACGUGGCAUCAAAUCAUAAAAACAUGGACCCGAAAUAUGAAAGUAAGGGGUCUCAAUAUAAUAGUAUGGCGUCACAAGUUGAAGAAAUGAGUUCAAAGCGUGAAAAUAAAGCAUCACAAUGUGGCAAUGUAGCCUCAAAAGAUGAAAACAUUAGCUCAAAAUAUGAAAAUAAAGCUUCUCAACAUGAUACUAUUGCGUCACAAGAAGAAAACAUUAGGUCUAAACAUGAAAAUAAAGCGUCACAAUAUGACAACUUCGCGUCACAAGCUGAGAACACAUCACAGUAUGAAAGUAAAGCGUCGCAGUGUGAUAGUAUGAAGUCACAAAACAAAGACACAGGCUCAAAGUAUGAAAAUAAGACGUCCCAACAUGAUAAUACACAAGAUGUGACACAAGAUGAAAGUAUGAGGUUAAUACAUGAAAAUAAAGCGUCAGAAAGUAAUAGUGCAGCGACACUAAAUAAAAAUAAGGCGUCAAGUCAUGAACACAAGACAUCACAAAUUGAAAAUAUAAGCUCCAAAUAUGAAAGUAAGGCAUCACAACAUGAUAAACUAGCUUCACAAGAUGAAAACCUGAGGUCAAAAUGUGAAAGUAAGCCGUCAAAAAACGAUAAAAAGGCGUCACAAGAUGACAAUACGCCGUCUCUAGGUGGCAAUGUAGUUUCAAAAGAUGGAAGCAUGGCGUUACAAGAUGAAAACAUGGUACCGCAAGAUGACAACCUGGCGAUACAAGAUCAAAUCCUCGUGUCCCAAGACGAAAUCAUGGUGUCACGAGAUGAAGUCGUGGUGACUCAAGAAGAAAAUAUUAUUGAACUGCUAGAUGAAGACAUUAUUGAAGUGCCCGAUGAAGACGUUAUAGAAGUGCCAGAUGACGACGUUAUAGAAGUGAUAGAUACGGAAACAUGUAAAAAUAAUAACUCCAAGAAAAUCGACACGCCCGUAAAAAUAUACUUUACACCCUUCGACCAUAAUUAUUGCAAUAAUUUCCAAUGGUUAAGCCACGUAAAUUCAACAAAUGAACAAAAUUCUACACAAGAGACUGUCGCAGUUCAUAACCAAAUAGAUACUAGAAAAGAGCAUGGAAGGAAUGCCACCAGUACACCUCCAUGUACCAUUACAAGUAUAUCAAGGAAAAUUAUCAACUCAGAGGGUAAAUUGGAAAUAGUGACUUACCACUCUAAUGUAUCCAAGAUGACAUCUGCCAUGGCGAGCCGAAUGAUGAAGCCUCCUUGCAAAUGCAAUGAUAAGUGCUAUCAUAAAGUUUCUAGAGAAGCCAGAGUAAAAAUUUUCGAUUAUUUUUGGAACGUUUGUAAAAAUUGGGAAGAAAGACGACAAUUCAUUGCAAAAUGUGUUGCAAAGAAAGAUAAGACCUGGAUCUCAUACUUUGACAACUGGAGGACUGGUCGGCUAAAACUAGAAUACGUAUACUCCUACGUCUUCUACCUUAACGGGAAGGCUAUAAAUGUGUGCAAAAUUAUGUUUUUGAACACGCUAGCGGUUGGAGAAAAGUACGUCACAAUUUGCGUAGAGAGCGGAGAAGCUCAGGCCAAAUAUAAUAAUAAUAAUAUGGAUGUAGAAUCAGAAAUUCCCCAAUACGAAAUUUUUAACGUUGAAUAAAUUGUAGAAUGAUUAAAUAUGGAAACAGACCAAAAUGUCAUAAUGUUCGCACAAACAUGGUGAUAAAGGCGAUAUAUGCAUAAGAGUGAGUAGGCUUACCGAGAUAUUUUCUGCAGGGUACUGAAUAUUGCCUUCGAACUUCGUAUGGAAGAUUCUCGUAAAGCAACGGAAGACUUUCUAAAUAUACUCGUCCUUUUGUAUGGGUGUGCUUAGAUGUAGACUUUUUGAGAUUUUACGCCAUUCGUGUAUUCGAUGUCGAUUACAAUACUUGUGUAUACUAAAGAUGUAGAUUUUGAUAAAUGUAUGUGUUAUAUAAUGUACGCAUUCUGACCUUUUAUGAAAAAUAUUAGAUAAAAACCUCUUUGUGGUACAGACAGUUUCUUAACUCGAAAAGAAAUUGGUUAUUUCGAACGUGUAAGCUUAAAUCUAUAAGAGAGUAGUCUGUGAUUUACACAACAGGGGUUAUAAGUAGGAACGUUGGUAAAACUUUUUAUAAUCAGUAGAUUUUCAUGUCUGUAUUAGGAGUCAUUAGACUAAAUCUUCCUUAUAAUUAACGUCUUGGCACUGAUUGCAAAUUAAAAGUGAUAAAACUUGAGAUCUCAUUUUGAUAUAUUUAUAUUUUUUAAUUAAGUGUUCGUGAAUUCGAAAUUCUAGUCUUAAGUAAUUAUGUGAUAAUCUAGUCGUUUUAGCGCUGGUUUAAACCAAUACUUAAAAUAACUAAAAGUUAAAUCAAAGAACCUAAAACGCUUAAGGUUCUAUAAACGUUCAUACUAUAUGGUAUAUAGUAUAUUCUCAUAUACUUCCAAUUUGGUAAUGAUUUUAACCAAUGCCAAAUAUAAAAAUACUCGAAGAGAUUUUUAAUUUUAAUUAGUAAGACGAAAUUAACGAUCAAUGUGAUAUUGGAUCUCAAACUAGUCGUGAUUUAGAAUUGUUUUGAACAAAAAUAUAAUUUUGGAUAGAUUUAUAUUUAGUUAAGUACAUAUCUUAUGUUUAUAAAUAUUGAAAGCGUCUCCGAGGGACGCGAAAACUUCCAUUUUGUAAGUUACUGUGUUAAUAAUGAUUAAAGAAUGAUCUCUAAGCCAAACUUUUGUAGUUUUUAAGUGAAAGUUAUCAAACAUGUUCACUUUCAUAAUUUCAGUAGAACAUAUUUAAUAAAUGUAAUCGAAGUAGUGAUAACCUAGUAGUUAGGCCCGGGACAUUAUCUGUUAGAUCUCGUGUUAAGCGCUGUGAUUAGAUCUUAGUCAAAAAAUUGUCGCGAUCAAUAGAUUGGACAACAGACUCUGUUGUUCAGCUUUGUGGAACCGGGUGUAGAUUAUUAGUUAUUAGAAAGCGUAAUUAAGAAUUACUAGUCUCCCUACAUUUAUAUAUACAACAUGUAGGAGCAUUCGUUUGAAUGGAUGUUUUAAAAUAAGUAUUAUGUAGUACAUUUUGACGUUUUUAAUGGUGAUGCAUUGAAUCGUGAAUACAUACUAAUUUUUUGUAUGUUAGUAUUUGUAAUGUAAUUAACGAUUAUAUUGUUAGUUAUAAACUUUUACACUUGGUCAGAAUUUACAAAGAAUAUUGUAGCAGAGUAAAAAAAAUAUGUUUUUGUGUAUAAAAUCUAAAACAAAAUUCAAAUCAACGGAUUAUCCGAAUUCUAUCUUUUUACUUGAAAUAUUUACUACAUAACUAUUUCUAUGUCUUCUUGAUAUGCAGAUUUUUCAUAUUAUAAUAAUGUUGAUAUCAACGAGGUAUUCAAUAAAAAUAAGUAUUAAGUGUCUCACAUAUUAUCCAAUCUGUACGUAAUUAAAUGUAAUAUUUUAAAUUGGUGUGAAUUAAACAUAUCGAUGUGGAUUUUAUGUAUUUAUUGUGUUCAAAACCCUUUGAGAAAAGUCAUCAUCAUCAAUAGCUUUGCGAUAAUAUCCAUCGUAAUACCGCUCUUAUUGAAAAAAGAUACAUCAUAGUUUCGUAUGAUGCGAGCGUCCGCCUUGAAUGCAGUGCGAAUUGAGUAUACCUAAGUAUGUAUAAACAUAAAGAGUGUUCUUUCGCAAGUAAGCACUCUCUUAUAUGUGUCAUUUGUUUACAGAUCUCAAGUACAUACUAACACAGUCUCAGCGUGGCAACCAGCUUUUGCUUCUACAAGAACACACGUUUUCAAGGGCAAACAAAUUGUCCCGCGUAUGGUGUUGUUCCAGUCGGCUUUCGAAGAACUGUCGCGCGAAGACCUUAAAUACACACUAACGAAGUCUCAUCGCGGCAGCCAGAUUAUGAUUCUACAAGAUCACACUUUUUCAAGAAUGAAUAAAAUAUCGUACAUCUGGCGUUGUUCCAGUCGGGGAUCAAAGAAUUGUCCUGCGAGGGUGUCGCUGGGACCCAAUAAUUGUUUAGUACCUCUGAACUUGCAGCACAAUCAUAGCCCUCCUCAGUAUUGCAUGACGAACACUGGCAUUUUGAUUAAACUGUGAUUUCAAUUAAGCAACUAAAGAUAUCGCUGUCAACUGGCAGUCAUAUGCAUCCCCUAAGUUUUGCCACAAAAUCACCAGCUUCUGCAGUCGGACUAGAUGAGCCCCGAGUAGAGACUGCAAAUUGGCAUACGGAGUUUAGAACAAUGGACGGAUGUCCUAAAAAGGUAGCUUCGAAUUGCGGAAAGACUUGGAGGGAUCAUUGAAAUGAAACUGUUUUUCGUCCUCAGGGACUUUCCGCCGCCUCUUAGGGUCAAACCCAACUGAAGGCGCAGUGGACCACAGUGCCAUUGCCUUCAAAUGACUAUGAACUUUUUUUAUACGUAGAUAAGAUUUAAAUUAUUUGUAGUAUUUCAAGUCCCGGUAUACCCGCUGUUUUUUCAGUGUGAAUUAAUCUUUAUUGAAUUUAUCCAUGAAAAGUAAUCCUCAAACGUCAACAACAAGAUCCCGCACCACAGUUCAUAGAGGUUUUACUCAGUGACUAAAUUUUGUGUAAUGUAAACAAUGUAUUUCAUGUAAGUUUUAUAUAACAUAAAUAAAUAAAAAACUAAUACUGAA